This 23-nucleotide small nuclear RNA is filed under the name Arabidopsis thaliana (thale cress). Its description in RNAcentral is "snRNA_14257". Lineage: Eukaryota; Viridiplantae; Streptophyta; Magnoliopsida; Brassicales; Brassicaceae. The record is from RNAcentral.
CAGAGGAAUGAGUUGAAUAGUAU